GAUGAACGCUGGCGGCGUGCCUAAUACUUGCAAGUCGAGCGAAUGGAUUAAGAGCUUGCUCUUAUGAAGUUAGCGGCGGACGGGUGAGUAACACGUGGGUAACCUGCCCAUAAGACUGGGAUAACUCCGGGAAACCGGGGCCAAUACCGGAUAACAUUUUGAACCGCAUGGUUCGAAAUUGAAAGGCGGCUUCGGCUGUCACUUAUGGAUGGACCCGCGUCGCAUUAGCUAGUUGGUGAGGUAACGGCUCACCAAGGCAACGAUGCGUAGCCGACCUGGGAGGGUGGACGGCCACACUGGGACUGAGACACGGCCCAGACGCCUACGGGAGGCAGCAGUAGGGAAUCUUCCGAAAUGGACGAAAGUCUGACGGAGCAACGCCGCGCGAGUGAUGAAGGCUUUCGGGUCGUAAAACUCUGUUGUUAGGGAAGAACAAGUGCUAGUUGAAUAAGCUGGCACCUUGACGGUACCUAACCAGAAAGCCACGGCUAACUACGUGCCAGCAGCCGCUGUAA
RNAcentral lists this ribosomal RNA (515 nucleotides) under uncultured bacterium. RNAcentral describes it as "partial 16S ribosomal RNA". It matches the Rfam family "Bacterial small subunit ribosomal RNA", at positions 28 to 523 of the family's 1533-position model. The record is from RNAcentral.